Molecule: long non-coding RNA, 5631 nt
Organism: Oncorhynchus gorbuscha (pink salmon)
Lineage: Eukaryota; Metazoa; Chordata; Actinopteri; Salmoniformes; Salmonidae
Exons: 3
Source: RefSeq, a predicted model, not a curated record
UUGUUCUAUCAUCGUCAGCUCUUUCUGAAUAUCACUUUUGAAGCCCUUUUGAUUUUGAUAUGCCGUGUUUGUUUGUUUUUUUGGCUCGAGUUUUCUUGUGGCUGUUAUUUCUCAUCUCUCCUCCGACAUGCAUGACGUGCUUGAAUGGAGUGUUUAGAUUGGAGUAUAUGAUGAAGAAAAUACAGGAAUACUGGAGUCUCUUACGUUCUCUAUUAUUGGAGUGGCACUGAUCCUUCUCAUAACAUUAUCAGGACGGGCCUCAUCGCCAAACUGCCGCAUUUCCUCCAACACAUGCCUGAGCAAUGUCUUUCCUCCGCCAGCACAUAUUGCUAAGAACCAUUCAUGCGCAGCGCCCCUCCACCCACCAAAUGCUCCCACCUCCUGCCUGCCAAACACAGCCAAGAGGAAAUGUCUGACAGACAUCAAAUCCACAGGCAUUCCAAGUCUCUCAAUGAAAAUACCCUAGAGGGAAGACAACUGAGCUUGGUCAUUCAAAAGUGCUGGGUUGGUAUUGGAGCUGGACUCGCUGCACUGCCUCCUGCCUUUAUGCACAUAGAUCAUUUGCUGUGGACCUCUCGGCCCUUUGUCUGACAGUGCCUCUAAUCCCCUUGGCUACAUACUGCAGCUCACUGCAGCUCCAGUGCCGGCCCUAUCACUCUGCCCCAGCCCCAACCCCCUUUGCCAGGUAUCCACAUUGAUUUCCAGCUGGAAAUAACCGCUGCCUACACCCGGACCCAGCUCCCGUCAACCCAACUGUAAUGUGGAGUGGAACAGGGAAACCCAAGAGCAGACUCAGUCGAGGGGACUGGGGUGAAGUAAUCAAGACAUUUAUUGAAACACAGGGGGAAGAUGGAGUGCAGGCCAGGGGAAGCUCGGGCGGGUUGCAGGAAACCUGGUGCGGAGGCUGAGGCUGGAGUGAGUGGGGUUGGGACAGGGUAAGCAGGUCCGGAGGGGAAUCCAAGGGAGUAGUAGAGGGGAAUCCAGGGCAGAGUAGCAGGAUGAGGAGACGUGGGACUGGAGACAGGGACCAGAGUCAGAGCAGGCAGAACUGUAGCAGAGAGGAAAACAGUGUCAGGCAAGGAAAACAGGCACAACAGAAUCUAAUAGUAACAAAUGGCUAGAUGUGUAGACUGACUGAGCAGAGAUUACGAUCUGGCAGUGUGGAAAUGGCAGGACUGAGUAUUUGUAGAGGUCUUGAUUAUGGGCAGGUUGUAGCUGGUGGGGACCUGCUCUGACUGAGCACACCUGUCUCCACCCACACAAUAAGAGAGAGGGAGAGAACACUGGGGGAGUGGCAGCAGGUCAAGGAGACACAGGAUGAGCAGUUGAGGGCAUGACAGGAGCAGAUGUAACAGUAACCCCCUUCUACUGGCACCACUUGGCUUAUCUGAGUGUGAGGUAUAGAAAUCACGUAAGAGGGAGGGGUCCAGAACAUGACGGUGGAGCACCCAGCAGUGCUCCUUCGGUCCGUAUCCUUCCCAGUCCAACAGGUACUGCCAGCCGCGACCCCGACGGCGCACAUCCAAAAUCCGCCGAAUUGUAUAGGCAGGAUGGUCAUCAAUGAGCUGAGGGGGUGGAGGAGCUGCUGCAGGCUGAGACAGGGGACUGGAGCAGACAGGUUUAAUCAGGGAUACAUGAAAGGUAGGAUGGAUCCUGAGAGAGGCUGGGAGUUUCAGGUGCACAGCAGAGGGGUUAAUGACACUUUCAAAGGGACCAAUGAAAUCGGAGGGAAGGUUUCUUCGAUGCCACCUUCAAUGGCAGAUCCUUUAAUGAGAGCCAUACCUUUUGACCUGGGGUGUAGACUGGGGCUGAGACCCGGCAACGGUUGGCUGGGGACUGGGUCCUGCCGGAGGCGCAAAGGGCAGCCCGAGCCUUCCUCCAGGUAUGAUGACAACGGCGCAGAUGGUCCUGGACAGAGGGAACCGCAACCUAUUUGGCAGGGAACAAGAAGGGUAUGUAACCCAGAGCACACUCGAAGGGUGACAUACCCGACGAGGCAUUGGUGAGGGUGUUGUGGGCAUAUUCAACCCAGGGUAGCUGAGCGCUCCAGGAGGAAGGGUUAGCAGAUGUCACGCAGCGUAGGGCAGUCUCCAUCUCUUGGUCGGCCCAUUUGGUCUGGCCGUUGGUCUGGGGGUGAUAUCCAGAAGAAAGACUGACAUUGAUACCAAAAGCUGAACAGAAGGAUCUCCUUACCUGGGGUCCCCUGUCGGAAACGAUGUCAGUGGGAAUGCCAUGCCGACACAUGGCAUACUAGCAGGUCCGCAGUCUCCCUGGAGGACGGGAGCUUGGAGAGGGGAAUGAAGUGAGACACUUUGGAAAACCUGUCAAUAGUGGUGAGGAUUACGAAGUUACCGUUAGAUGGGGAAGGCCUGUGACGAAGUCCAGAGCUAUGUGUGGCCAGGGCGACUGGUUAUGGGAAGAGGGCACAGCAGUCCGGGAAGUGGGUUUGGUAGAAGAUUGUUCCGAGAACAAACCAAGCAGGCUGAGACAAACUUCAGGACAUCCCUGCGCUGAUGCAGGAAGGUGAGGGUCCGGUUCAUACCAGUGUGACAGGUGAGGUGAUUAGAAUGGCCCCACAGAAGAACCUCAGAGACAACACAAUCUGGAACAAACAGAGCAUUUCUAGGACCGUUACACGGGUCAGGCUGGUUCUGCUGAGCCUGGAGGAUACAGGAAUUGAUCUCCCAGGCGAUGGCAGCAAUGAUGCAGGUGGAUGGCACAAUGGUUUCUGGCUUGGUUCCCGUGUUGUCGGUGGUGAACUGGCGGGAGAGGGCAUCAGGCUUGAGAUUCUUAGAACCGGGGCGAUAAGUGAGUGUUAAAUUGAAUCUACCGAAGAACAAGACCCACCUGGCUCGCUGGGAGUUCAGAUGUUUGGUGGUCUGGAUUUAGGACAGGUUUUUAUGGUCAGUCCACAUGAUGAAUGGGGGAGGGGGGGCAGAGCCCUCCAGCCAGUGGCGCCAUUCCUCAAGAGCCAGCUUAACUGCCAGGAGUUCCCGGUUUCCGAUGUCAAAAUUCCUCUCUGCAGGUGAGCGCUUAUGGGAAAAGAAUGUACAUGGGUGGACCUUCUGAUCAGAGGGGGAACGUUGAGACAGAACAGCACCUACCCCGGUGUCAGAGGCAUCCACCUCCACGGUGAACUGGAAUCCUGGGUUGGGCUGAUUAAGGACCGGAGCGGAGGUGAAGCUUGACACUUGAGUUCCAGGAAUGCUGCCUCUGCCACAGGAGUCCAGUGGAACAGAGGUGGAGGUGACAGUGGUGAGAGGUUUAGCCAGACGGUUGUAGUUGUGGAUAAAACAUCUGUAAAAAUGUGCAAACCCCAGGAAACGCUGUAGCUGCUUCAGGUUGGAGGGCGCAGGCCACUCUGUGACUGCCAUGACCUUGGCGGGGUCCAUAUGUAACUGUCCCUGUGCAAUAAUAUAACCCAGGAAAGACAGUGGCAGCAUGGAACUCACACUUUUCAGCUUAAAAAAAGCCUUUUCUCCAACAGCAGUUGAAGAACUUGAUGAACGUGUUGCUGAUGAACCUCAGGGUCCUUGGAAAAAAAUCCAAAUAGACAAAAAAAAGUGUCCAAUCACAUCCCUCAGCACAUCAUUGACUAGGUUCUGGAAAACAGCAGGGGUGUUAGUAAGACCAAAAGGCAUGACCAAAUACUCAGUGGUGUGUUGAACACAGUCUUCCACGCGUCCCCCUCUCUUAUGCGGACAAGGUGGUAGGCAUUCUGGAGGUUGAGUUUGGUAAACACCGUGGCACCAUUGAGGGGGGCAAAAGCAGAGCUGAUGAGUGGCACGGGGUACUGUUCUUUACUGUGAUAUUAUUCAGCGCACAGAAGUCUAUGCACGGCCUUAGUGACCCAUCAUUUUUCUUCACAAAGAAAAACCCAGCACCCACCGAGGAGGAAGAUGGCUUGAUAAGUCCUGCAGCCAGAGUAUCCUGGAUGUACCUCUCCAUAGCCUCUUGCGCGGGGAUAGAGAGGUUUAAUAACCGACUACUGGGAAAAGGAGCUCCAGGCUGGAGGUCAAAGGCGCAGUCGUACGGCUGAUGAGGUGGCAGCGAUGGGGUGCGGUGCUUGCUGAACACAGGAGCUAGAUCGUGAUACUCGGGAGGAACUGAUGACAGGUCCGGAGAUUCUGGAAUGAACUGGGGAACAAACAAGGCAGGGGCAGAGUAACGAAAUGAAAUCCAAGUGGUUACCUUUCCAGCAGUCCAGUCAAUCUGUGGGUUGUGUAGCUUUAACCCGGUCUUGAUUAUGGAACAGGUUACAGCUGGUGGGGGAUCUGCUCUCAUUCAGCACACCUGUCUCCGCCCACACAAUCACACACAGAGAGAGAGGGAGAGGGAGAGAGCACUGGGGGAGUGGCAGCAGAUCAAGGAGACACAGGAUGAGCAGUAGAGGGCGUGGCAGAAGCAGAUGUAACACCAACAGUGGGUGAGCAGGAAAAAUGUACCCAUUAGGAUGUGGUUCUGUUAUCUGUGUAUGUGUAUGUAUGUGUGGGUGAAAGAGAGAGAAAGAGAGAGAGGGUUAAACUAAAGAGAAUCAGGGUCUGCACAUUCCAUUGUACUCUUGUCUCUGUACAGCCCUCUUUGGUCACUUAGGUUCAACUGAAAAAGUGUAUGGAUCUGCUAAAGAACAUGGAAUCCUCCUGUUUUCUAGGUGAGCAAGAGAUGACAUCUCCCAGAGGGAGAUCUCCUCUCUUAGCCCAUGAACACCACCCCUAAAAAAUGUGAUCUGAUUCACAGUUAACUAGUAUACGCAAACAGUAUAACCUGGUACAGAAACACAUGAACUCUGUAUAGGCUAAUCUACAGUGACAUGUUAAUGCUACAGCAGCUCCCUUCCCUCUCAGUGAGAGAGGGUUUCCCCAGCAUGGGGCGGCAGGGUGCGGUACAAUGCCUGAUUUACUGCCACCCUAAUGUGGAGCAGAGCUCAAAGAGAGACUCAAGGGGGGCCUGGGAUGCACCCUAACCCCGUUCCCCUUUCCUCUUCUUCUCCUCACUCUCUCUCUUCAUCUGAGAGAACACUGACACUGGUCAGCAGUGGCAGAGUUCCCCUACUGUAAUGCAUUAGGCUGGUGUCAGGUGCCUAGAGCCAACACAUGGCUAUUCUAGAUCAGCUUGUUUGUUUACUUUGGGUAGUUGAUCAAUGAAAUAAGGACGUUGGGCCUCUGAACGCUGACAGACGGCAAGGUCAAAGAAAUGUGUUUGUUUGUGUUCGAAAUACAACAAUGAAUUAUUGAAGUACACACGCAGGAUCUUCAUUUGAGCCAGUUUGCUACAGCAGGAAAAUAAUCCUGCAGUAACAGGAAAUGUUAAUUAUUAUGUGGAUUAUAAUUAAUCAACAUUUUUUGUAGGAGAUGAUACAUUUUAUGUUAGGGCAAAUCACGACUGACAUUUUAAAGUGGAAAUUGCUAACUUUAGAGGCCUUUUUAAACCUUGAAUAAACUACAAGUUCUCAUUUCCUGCUGUGCUCAGCAACAAAAGAGUGAUCAAAUUAAGAUCCUACAUCUGUAUCCAUGUUUUAAUGUAAACCUUGUCCUUUUUUCUAAUAGCAUCCACGUAAUGUACACAGAGAGAUUCGAUAGAGGCUUUGAUAUAGCCUAUGCUGUAAACAUUUAAACCGCCAAUUAAAACCAU